Molecule: ribosomal RNA, 190 nt
Filed under: uncultured bacterium
Lineage: Bacteria
Description: partial 16S ribosomal RNA
Rfam family: Bacterial small subunit ribosomal RNA
Source: RNAcentral
CCUACGGGGGGCAGCAGUCGGGAAUUUUGGGCAAUGGGCGAAAGCCUGACCCAGCAACGCCGUGUGCAGGAUGAAGGCCCUCGGGUCGUAAACUGCUGUCAGGGGGAACGAAUGGCUCGAGGCCAAUACCCUCGAGAGUUGACGGUACCCCCAAAGGAAGCACCGGCUAACUCCGGCCAGCAGCCGCGGU